GCGUCUUUAGCUCAGUUGGUAGAGCAACUGACUCUUAAUCAGUGGGUCCAGGGUUCGAGUCCCUGAAGACGCA
This 73-nucleotide transfer RNA is filed under the name Oscillospiraceae bacterium HV4-5-C5C. It matches the Rfam family "tRNA". Rfam says of the family: Transfer RNA (tRNA) molecules are approximately 80 nucleotides in length. Their secondary structure includes four short double-helical elements and three loops (D, anti-codon, and T loops). The record is from Rfam by way of RNAcentral. Lineage: Bacteria; Bacillati; Bacillota; Clostridia; Eubacteriales; Oscillospiraceae. RNAcentral also lists the same sequence under 1 other name.